GAUGAACGCUGGCGGCGUGCCUAAUACAUGCAAGUCGAGCGAACAGACGAGGAGCUUGCUCCUCUGAUGUUAGCGGCGGACGGGUGAGUAACACGUGGAUAACCUACCUAUAAGACUGGGAUAACUUCGGGAAACCGGAGCUAAUACCGGAUAAUAUAUUGAACCGCAUGGUUCAAUAGUGAAAGACGGUUUUGCUGUCACUUAUAGAUGGAUCCGCGCUGCAUUAGCUAGUUGGGCAGGUAACGGCUUACCAAGGCCACGAUGCAUAGCCGACCUGAGAGGGGGGUCGGCGACACAGGAACUGAGACGCGGGCCAGACUCCUACGGGAGGCAGCAGUAGGGAAUCUUCCGCAAUGGGCGAAAGCCUGACGGAGCAACGCCGCGUGAGUGAUGAAGGUCUUCGGAUCGUAAAACUCUGUUAUUAGGGAAGAACAAAUGUGUAAGUAACUGUGCACGUCUUGACGGUACCUAAUCAGAAAGCCACGGCUAACUACGUG
This 497-nucleotide ribosomal RNA is filed under the name uncultured bacterium. Its description in RNAcentral is "partial 16S ribosomal RNA". It matches the Rfam family "Bacterial small subunit ribosomal RNA", at positions 28 to 507 of the family's 1533-position model. The record is from RNAcentral.